This 253-nucleotide ribosomal RNA is filed under the name uncultured bacterium. RNAcentral describes it as "partial 16S ribosomal RNA". It matches the Rfam family "Bacterial small subunit ribosomal RNA", at positions 524 to 776 of the family's 1533-position model. The record is from RNAcentral.
UACGCAGGGUGCGAGCGUUGCCCGGAUUUAUUGGGCGUAAAGGGCGCGUAGGCGGCCACGCACGUCCGUUGUGAAAUCGCCCGGCUCAACUGGGCGGGGUCGGCGGAUACGGCGUGGCUGGAGCAAGCUAGGGGGCAAUGGAAUUCCCGGUGUAGUGGUGGAAUGCGUAGAUAUCGGGAGGAACACCAGUGGCGAAGGCGGUUGCCUGGAGCUUUGCUGACGCUGAGGCGCGAAAGCGUGGGGAGCGAUCCGG